GACGAACGCUGGCGGCGUGCUUAACACAUGCAAGUCGAACGGAAAGGCCCUGCUUUUGUGGGGUGCUCGAGUGGCGAACGGGUGAGUAACACGUGAGUAACCUGCCCUUGACUUUGGGAUAACUUCAGGAAACUGGGGCUAAUACCGGAUAGGAGCUCCUGCUGCAUGGUGGGGGUUGGAAAGUUUCGGCGGUUGGGGAUGGACUCGCGGCUUAUCAGCUUGUUGGUGGGGUAGUGGCUUACCAAGGCUUUGACGGGUAGCCGGCCUGAGAGGGUGACCGGCCACAUUGGGACUGAGAUACGGCCCAGACUCCUACGGGAGGCAGCAGUGGGGAAUAUUGCACAAUGGGCGGAAGCCUGAUGCAGCAACGCCGCGUGCGGGAUGGCGGCCUUCGGGUUGUAAACCGCUUUCGCCUGUGACGAAGCGUGAGUGACGAUAAUGGGUAAAGAAGCACCGGCUAACUACGUG
Molecule: ribosomal RNA, 468 nt
Filed under: uncultured bacterium
Lineage: Bacteria
Description: partial 16S ribosomal RNA
Rfam family: Bacterial small subunit ribosomal RNA
Source: RNAcentral